CUACGUGCCAGCAGCCGCGGUAAUACGUAGGUGGCAAGCGUUGUCCGGAAUUAUUGGGCGUAAAGCGCGCGCAGGCGGAUUGGUCAGUCUGUCUUAAAAGUUCGGGGCUUAACCCCGUGAUGGGAUGGAAACUGCCAAUCUAGAGUAUCGGAGAGGAAAGUGGAAUUCCUAGUGUAGCGGUGAAAUGCGUAGAUAUUAGGAAGAACACCAGUGGCGAAGGCGACUUUCUGGACGAAAACUGACGCUGAGGCGCGAAAGCCAGGGGAGCGAACGGGAUUAGAUACCCCGGUAGUCCUGGCCGUAAACGAUGGGUACUAGGUGUAGGAGGUAUCGACCCCUUCUGUGCCGGAGUUAACGCAAUAAGUACCCCGCCUGGGGAGUACGACCGCAAGGUUAAAACUCAAAUGAAUUGACGGGGGCCCGCACAAGCGGUGGAGCAUGUGGUUUAAUUCGAUGCAACGCGAAGAACCUUACCUACUCUUGACAUCCAGA
RNAcentral lists this ribosomal RNA (492 nucleotides) under uncultured bacterium. RNAcentral describes it as "bacterial SSU rRNA". It matches the Rfam family "Bacterial small subunit ribosomal RNA", at positions 501 to 992 of the family's 1533-position model. The record is from RNAcentral.